UUAUGAAUAUGAUGAGACUGGAGGAGCUGCUGAGAGGCAGUGACCUGUUCUGCAAGUUCUGUCUGUUCUGCAAGUUCUGUCUGUUCUGUCUGUUCUGUUUGUUCUGUCUGUUCUGGUUGUUCUGUCUGUUCUGUUUGUUCUAUCUGUUCUGUUUGUUCUGUCUGUACUGUUUUUUCUGUCUGUUCAGUCCCGUUCUGUUUGUUCACUCUGAUCUGUUUGUUCUGUCUGUUCUGUCUGUUCAGUCUGUUCUGUUUGUUCAGUCUGUUCAGUCUGUUCAGUCUGUUCAGUCUGUUCUGUUUGUUCUGCCUGUUCUGGUUGUUCCUGGCCUGUUCUGGGUUGUUCUGCCAGUGUCUGGUUCUGUAUGUUCUGGAUGUUCAUGUCAUGCUGUCGGGUUUAGUCUGUUUCACUCUGUUCUGUU
RNAcentral lists this long non-coding RNA (418 nucleotides) under Cottoperca gobio. Its description in RNAcentral is "lncRNA (ENSCGOG00000015303.1)". Lineage: Eukaryota; Metazoa; Chordata; Actinopteri; Perciformes; Bovichtidae. The record is from RNAcentral.